RNAcentral lists this ribosomal RNA (341 nucleotides) under Enterobacter ludwigii. RNAcentral's name for it is "bacterial SSU rRNA". It matches the Rfam family "Bacterial small subunit ribosomal RNA", at positions 91 to 435 of the family's 1533-position model. Lineage: Bacteria; Pseudomonadati; Pseudomonadota; Gammaproteobacteria; Enterobacterales; Enterobacteriaceae. The record is from RNAcentral.
ACGAGUGGCGGACGGGUGAGUAAUGUCUGGGAAACUGCCUGAUGGAGGGGGAUAACUACUGGAAACGGUAGCUAAUACCGCAUAACGUCGCAAGACCAAAGAGGGGGACCUUCGGGCCUCUUGCCAUCAGAUGUGCCCAGAUGGGAUUAGCUAGUAGGUGGGGUAACGGCUCACCUAGGCGACGAUCCCUAGCUGGUCUGAGAGGAUGACCAGCCACACUGGAACUGAGACACGGUCCAGACUCCUACGGGAGGCAGCAGUGGGGAAUAUUGCACAAUGGGCGCAAGCCUGAUGCAGCCAUGCCGCGUGUAUGAAGAAGGCCUUCGGGUUGUAAAGUACUU